CUGACGACGCCCUUCCUCGGACGGUUUAGGCGCUCCACCACCUCAGUCCGGGUGCACUGUCUUGCCCUCGACUCCAGUGCCUGUCACCUCCUCCUGGGCCUUGGCGUUACCGUGGCCCCUCGCACAGAGAACCCUCGGUCCAACAAGCAUCUAGGCGUCUUUGGUAGUGGUCUGUCAACAACUUACAAGUUACAGAUGAUGCAAUAUGUAAAGAUAGGCUUCAGCAUAUGA
This 231-nucleotide unclassified non-coding RNA is filed under the name Zea mays. RNAcentral's name for it is "misc RNA Zm00001eb207350". The record is from RNAcentral. Lineage: Eukaryota; Viridiplantae; Streptophyta; Magnoliopsida; Poales; Poaceae.